This is a non-coding RNA of Rattus norvegicus (Norway rat), 4938 nucleotides long. Lineage: Eukaryota; Metazoa; Chordata; Mammalia; Rodentia; Muridae. The record is from RefSeq and is a predicted model, not a curated record.
CUACCCCUGGGAAGGUGAAUGAGAAGCCAGGAGAAGUCAGGGGGCGUGGCUGGCCAUUGACCACCCUUGCGCUGUUCCCCUUCAGGCGGUCAAGAAGGAAAAAGAUGCACACAGAUCCUUGGAAAUGCAAAUGCAAAACACAAGAAGGCACCACGAAAGUACAGCCUUUGAAAAGCCAGUCGAAGGUGGCCUGCUCUCCCCGACCACUGAAUUCCUCAGCUUGGUCCACCAGAGCCUCCUUGACUGCCUCCUGUCCGCACAGCACCACAACUCGGCGAGGUCCCAGGUGGAUGGUGAAUACAGGACCGUAACGUUGGCUGAUCUGAUGGAGGAGAAUGAUCAGAGAAGGACAACAGUGGCUCCCUCCAGAUGUACCUGAAACCUAUACAAAGACAUGGGCUCUCGCUGAACCCAGAGCUCACCGAUUUGGCUAGCCUGUGUGGCUAAUGAGGCUCAGGGAUCCUCCUGAAUCCAUGCCUCUCCACCCCAGCAUGGCGAGGUGAAUAGGAAGGUAGGGAUUACAAGUGUGUGUGACACCGUGCCUGGUUUUUGAUGUAGGCGCAGGGACCCCCAUGCUUGUACUCCAUACACUUUACCUACUGGGUUGGUUCCUCAGCGUCUCUCCUUCUGUUUUAAAUCAAGAUGAAAUAACACAUGAAUCGAACAUCUAUAGAGAAGCGCAGUGGCGUUUCAUGCAUUCAUGGUGUUCUACAACAAACACCACUGUCCAAAGUCAAUACAUUUCCAAUGGAAAUCUUAAGUAACCUAAGGCAGAGGCAACUUACUUUGGGGUCUACACUAAUGGGUGUUUUGUCUGGAACUGGCCUCUGUGUCUUUAAGUCCCAUGCCUGUGGUAACGGUGUCUGUCUGCUGUCUGAGGUUUGAUUUUGUUGUUCUUUGUUUUCAUUUUUUUUUUUUUACGAAGCAUCAGAAAAUUGUCCCCAAACACCUAUGAUUCUUAAACUCAUACCCCAUUGCCAUAAAACCCAAACAAAACCCUCCAGAAUCCGACAAAAACAAGCCCAAGAUAGCUGGGCAGGAGAGAUAUUUGACCUUUAUCAACCUUUAUGUUCUUUGGUUCAUUAGCCAAUCACGAGCUGAUCAACACGGGUACACCGCCGCCCCGCCCCCCCAGUAGCCAGGUGGUGAGUGAGCCUGGAGAACAAAAGGUUGCAGUCAGGGAAGGAAAAGGUUUGCAUCUUAGAUUUCACGGUUGUGACAAGGAUUAGAGAAGAGUUUGGGGAGUGUUGGCUGAAACAGUGUGAAAGGGAGAAACAGAAGAGGGAUAAAAAGUCAAGCUUCUUCUGCCUGGUUGUUUACUCUGGACCGCAGGAGUGCUCCACCAGGAUAACAACAGGGCCUUAGUGUGUUCCCCACCAGGAAAACAGCAGGGCCCUGGAGUGCUCCCCAGCGGGAAAAGCAGAGACAGGUUUGAUGGAUGCGUAGGACGGAAACAGCCUGGAAGAAGGACGGAUUUUUAUUUAUUUUCUUUACACCCCCAGUGAUGUUCAAAAGUAUAACCUACUCACACGCACGCCCAUGCAUGGCAGAUGGCAAACUGUUAGCAAGAAGACCAUCGGUGCAUAGAGAUGCGUCUUAUUUCAUGCAGUUGUUUCUGGCAUUUUCUCAGCUUCCUGUAAGGAACCCGUAGCAUACUGGGGAAGACACGGGGAUUAUUAUUUUAAAAAGACCUUAUUGUUGUCAAAGGAAACCAAGUCCAAAGUGUGUAUAUUUCUCCUUCACUGUCAAAAGGAAGGAGGCUGUGUCCCUAGUUGGUUCUGUGAGUUCAGAAUGCUGCUCACCUAUCCCGUUCCUCCUCCUUUGUUUUCUUCUUCUUCUUCUUCUUCUUCUUCUUCUUCUUCUUCUUCUUCUUCUUCUUCUUCUUCUUCUUCUUCUUCUUCUUCUUCUUCUUCUUCUUCUUCUUCUUCUUCUUCUCCUCCUCCUCCUCCUCCUCCUCCUCCUCCUCCUCCUCCUCCUCCUCCUCUUCCUCCUCCUCCUUCUUCUUUGAGCUGGCUGUUAAACUUUAGCACCUUUUAUCUGAGGACUGCCUAAGUGGUUUUACAUAUAUGAUUCUCCACCAGCUGGAGGUGACGCCCCACCUGCUUUGGCAGUCUUCCUCUCUGCUUUAAUUUUUACGGUCCCUUCAGCUCUCAGGUUUUCCCCUACCCCCACUUUUUCUCUUACUUUUCAGAUUAUAAUAUAAUUACAUCAUUUCCUCCCACUCCCUUUCCUCCAUCCAAGCACACCCAAACAUCACGGUGCUCUCUUUCAAAUUCACAUCCUCUUUUUUCAUUAAUUAUUAUAUAUAUGUAUAUAUAAUAUACACACAUAUUAUAUAUAUUCAUAUAGCACUACUGAGGCUGCUUGUCUUUGUCACUGUAGUCAGCACCUUCCCUGGGAGCUGAGAUCUUCUAUGGCACACCCACUCCUUGACAUAGGACUGGGAAGCACCCAAGACGCCAAGACUUUUGAUGUCGUGUGUGUGUGUGUGUGUGUGUGUGUGUGUGUGUGUUUAGUGCUCUAUCUGCAUGUACACCUGCAUGCCAGAAGACAGCAUCAGAUCACAUUGUAAGUGGCUGUGAGCCACCAUGGGAAUUGAACUCAGGACCUCUGGAAGAACAGUGCUCUUAACUGCUGAGCCAUCGCUCCAGCCCCGUGCCUUAUGUUUUUAAAAUGACAUUUGACACAUUUUCUAGUGUUAAGACGCAAAAUCGAUAUAAUUAUCAUAUAUCAAAACAGUUGCAUUGUAGCACUUUCAUAUACACUUUGUAUUGGCUGUGCCUCUGUUGUUACUCCCCCACCGCUAUGCCCCACCCACUCCCAUGGUCCUCUUCUUCAAUGUCACAUGCAUUCUACUAUCUCCUCCCACUUAAGACCUUUUUUAAAUCGACAAAUAACAACUGGAUAUAUUUAAGGCAUACAACACCAUGUUUUGAUAUGUUAUAUAUUGUAGAAUGGCUCAAUCAGGGUAAUUAGAAUAAUGCAUAUGUAUUGUAUUACAUAGGAUUUUGUGUGAGAACACUCAGAAUCUCUCAGGAGUAGUCUAGAACACGAUACCUUAUUAUUAACUACUGCCUUCAUGCUGUACAAUAGAACUGUUUAUUUCUCCUGCCUAACUGAUAUUCCCAUCUGUUGAACGACACCGCUCCUGUCCCAGCCUCUGUCAUCCUGUUUUUUUUUUUCCCCCCUGUGGGGUCAGAUUUCUAAGUCUGUCCAUGUAUGUGAGAUUAUGUGAUGUUUGUCUUUUGAACAUAAUUUUUUUUAUGAGGAUGAAGAUGUUGCAAAUACUCUAAGGGAAUUUCCAUAUCAGGCAGUGGUUGAGUGCAUUCUGGUUGAAUCAAGCGAACAAUAACUACACACUAUGAAAAAGGACUUUAAAAUCUUCACCAGUUGACUGAAUUUUCUAGUAACAGAAAAAGCAGAUAGUGAAAGAGUUGGGUGAAGGAACUUCCUCACUUUUGCUUUUGGUUGGUUUUGUUCUAAGGGCAGGCCAUGAGUGGCACCUUUUGGGAUGGCAGAAACCCAGAUAGAAACUUUGUUUUUUCUUAAAUUUCUAGAUCCAGGCAACUGAAGACAUUGUGGUUGACUACAGCACUGGUUGAUAGUGGGGGUUGAAACUCUAUAAAGAAAGAGUCAGAGAAAAUGAGACAUGACCACAUCCUAUGCAUAAAUUUGGACCAAAUUUCUAACUGAUUGUUAAGGUACUAAUGAACUGGAAAACUUACAGCUAGGACUAAAAGCACCGAGGCUAAAUUUCAGUGCUAGGGGUUUUGCUUUAGCUAUGUUAACUGCUUUCUAAAGAAAAAAUGGUGAAUCAAUGCCGCGCCUGUAGCAGAGAUAACCGAGCUCCGGGGCAGACAUGACGCCUGAGUGGGAGCCGGUUCGAGGGUUCGCACCACACGUGGUUAAGCCCCCUGCUUGCAUGCGGCGGACUCCAAGAAGAUGUGCACCUGGACUUGCCCCCUGUUGUAAACUUGUCUCUGGGCUGAUGGGCAUCUGGGUCAUGGGAAAGAUCGUUGUCAGCACUUAUUUCUUUAUUUUUUCUUUGUUUGAUUUUGAAUAUGAUCUUGGCAAGACGGAGACUUCCUUUAAUAAUAGGACAGAAGGUCGUGAUCUAUUUUUGAUCACUAAUACCACAAGCUUUCCUGUUUCCUCUUUACAGCAGACAGAGCCUCUGAUGACAGGGACUCCAAGGUUGCAGAUUAUGUCUUCUCUUAUAGAUAAGGAAAUAUAAGAUUUAGCAAAGAAUUAUACAUAUAAGGAUAGUGAUGCUUCUUCUAUUAGGUGUUGGUAGAACUGUUGAGAAAUGAUUCCUUGAGCUUUGGGUCGGCUAUGAAUAUUUUACAGAGUAUAGAAACAGGUGGUGGCAACCAGGUACUUACAGGGGACCAUAUGUGCAUCGACCAACGGAUGCUCCAUUACCAUAUACUGGAGAAUAUGAUUUGAAUUUUGAUAGGUGGGUUACUAAGGAUGGAUAUAGGGUCAGGUAUUUGUCACUGCCUUGGUCAGAAAGGUUGGCAAGAGCCCGUCCUCCUUGGUGUGUGCUCUCAGAAGAAGAGAAAUGGGAGGUAAGGUCACAGAUCAUCAGAUACUUUAGACAGGGAUCAGGCAUGCAAUAUUAUUGCCCCAAGCCUUGGAUGUACAUCUACAGGACUAACAAAGAUGGGAUCAAAGGGUUAACUAGAGCGAUAGAACUAGAUGCACAGACCUGAUGGCGUAAGAUAUGCCAGACUUGCGGUCCCCUGAAACUUCCUCCUUGAUGUGACAAACGGAAAACUAGACUAGGCUGGCUGACUGUGGCUCGUCUGAAAAAAAAGCAAGCUAUACCUUUUUGCAGAAAAAUCAAAUGUUCUUGGCCAUGGUCCAAGAUUGUUAUACAAUGAAAAUUGUGUAUAAAUGUCUGAUGCUCUCUCAGUAAAGUUACAACAGCUGACCACA